RNAcentral lists this unclassified non-coding RNA (270 nucleotides) under Junghuhnia luteoalba. Its description in RNAcentral is "partial internal transcribed spacer region". The stretch from base 1 to 46 matches the Rfam family "Eukaryotic small subunit ribosomal RNA", at positions 1786 to 1831 of the family's 1831-position model. The record is from RNAcentral. Lineage: Eukaryota; Fungi; Basidiomycota; Agaricomycetes; Polyporales; Steccherinaceae.
AAGUCGUAACAAGGUUUCCGUAGGUGAACCUGCGGAAGGAUCAUUAAUGAAUGAACUUGAAUGGAGUUGUAGCUGGCUUCAGCAAUGGGGCAUGUGCACACUCUGUUCAUCCAUCUUCACACCUCUGUGCACUUCUCAUGGGUUGGGUUGCGCCUGAAAUAUGGCAAGGCUCUUCUUAUGUGCUCACACACACUUUAAAAGUUUAUAGAAUGUAACAAACGUGCAUUAAUGCAUAUAAUACAACUUUCAGCAACGGAUCUCUUGGCUCUC